UGGUUCUGGCAUCGAUGAAGAACGCAGCGAAAUGCGAUAAGUAAUGCGAAUUGCAGAAUUUCCGUGAGUCAUCGAAUCUUUGAACGCACAUUGCGCCCACUGGUAUUCCGGUGGGCAUGCCUGUUCGAGCGUCAUUAUCCUCUCUCCAACCCCCCGGGUUGGGUGUUGGGCCGCGUUGUGGCAACGCAACUGGUCUCAAAGACAAUGACGGCGUCCGUGGGACCCUCUUCGCAACGAGUCUUUCGAGGCACGCGGGGAGUUGCAAGGUCCCGUCGGGUCGGUCUAACCUUUUAUUUUUCUCAGGUUGACCUCGGAUCAGGCAGGAAUACCCGCUGA
RNAcentral lists this unclassified non-coding RNA (336 nucleotides) under uncultured fungus. Its description in RNAcentral is "partial contains 5.8S ribosomal RNA and internal transcribed spacer 2". The stretch from base 1 to 134 matches the Rfam family "5.8S ribosomal RNA", at positions 22 to 154 of the family's 154-position model. Lineage: Eukaryota; Fungi. The record is from RNAcentral.